GUUCGAAUAGAUUUCACGAGUCUCUGUUCCCAUGCCACCAAACAACAAUUGUACAUCCAGGCAUGGGGAAGGAAGGGUGGUCCAUUAUGGAUUAGAUGGGCUGUGUUCUAGAACGUUCUUGCUUUCUGUUUUGUCAUCUUCUUCGGAAGCCAUCCUCAGCUAUAGGGUUGCCCCACUUCACCCCCGCGGUCGCCAUAGCUUCACCCCAGUUUUGAGUGGCGCAUGUCCUCGGUUUUCAUGGUGUGUGAGUGGCUGCCGUUUGUUCGCCUCCGACCAGUCGGCCCCACUCCCUUUCUGAGCCUCGAGGUGUCCUCUACUGUCUUCCUUUCAGCCCAGCUUUAAGAACCAAGGAACGAGUUCCAAACAUCUCCCUUCCACGCCGAAGGCUGGAGUUGCUUCUGGCAGCGUGUGUGACCGGCUUUUGCCAAAACCGGCGCCAGAUACUGCUUUUCCACUCCGGGCUUUGCCAAGGCUCUCUCCCAACCCGUCGGUCAGUGGCAUACAGACUUUCCCCUUCAGCGCCCCAUCAAUCACGUCUCUUCUGGAGGAGCCGGCUACUCGUCAGGCGGGAUCAGGGCCUGCCAGAGAACCUUCGGACGCUCUGACGGCUAGUAGGCUUAAAUCCUGAUGGUAGCUUUUGGCCGGCAGCAGGGCAGGGAAAGCAGGACCAAACACCAAGUGUCCAGGGCUGAAUCUCACGUCUGGCAAGUCCUACGCAGGAGUAAUCCAACGGGUCAUGGACUUGGCCUAGGGAUAAGCCAUUAUGGACAGCCGGCUGCUUUCACGUCAUGCCGGUUGUUUUGAUAAGAUGAAAAAGAAUUUAGAAGCAAACUCUGAUGGAGAAAGCCUUAAAAAAGUGAGGAUGCUGGAAUCUCCAGAAAGUACCUGGGGGAGUCAUUUGGUGCUCUUUCCUCUGCAUGGGAUCACACCUGUAUUUUAUAUGAUGCUCGGCGUAUGUCAAACAAAUGUUUUAAAUCACCCUGCCUCUAGAAGUAAACUGUGAAGGAAUUACCCCACUUUCCUCUUCUCUGUGAGAGUGCCUUUUUAGAAAAGGCUGAAUCGGUUCCAUAUUAUUUUAAACAUCUAUCAGGCACAUAAAUGUUUAGCUGGACUGAAGUACUGCUGGAAGUAAAUGAAGAAUAAAUUACUAUCCUUCUCUCUGCUUGGUCA
Molecule: long non-coding RNA, 1170 nt
Filed under: Pogona vitticeps (central bearded dragon)
Lineage: Eukaryota; Metazoa; Chordata; Lepidosauria; Squamata; Agamidae
Description: lncRNA (ENSPVIG00000009692.1)
Source: RNAcentral